Molecule: small RNA, 27 nt
Filed under: Bombyx mori (domestic silkworm)
Lineage: Eukaryota; Metazoa; Arthropoda; Insecta; Lepidoptera; Bombycidae
Description: ovarian small RNA-5329
Source: RNAcentral
GCCGUAUAGUGCCAUCGACCGCACCAC